RNAcentral lists this ribosomal RNA (434 nucleotides) under uncultured bacterium. RNAcentral describes it as "bacterial SSU rRNA". It matches the Rfam family "Bacterial small subunit ribosomal RNA", at positions 29 to 507 of the family's 1533-position model. The record is from RNAcentral.
AACGAACGCUGGCGGCAGGCCUAACACAUGCAAGUCGAGCGCGCCCUUCGGGGUGAGCGGCGGACGGGUGAGUAACGCGUGGGAACGUGCCCUUUGCUACGGAAUAGUCUCGGGAAACUGGGGGUAAUACCGUAUGUGCCCUUCGGGGGAAAGAUUUAUCGGCAAAGGAUCGGCCCGCGUUGGAUUAGGUAGUUGGUGGGGUAAUGGCCCACCAAGCCGACGAUCCAUAGCUGGUUUGAGAGGAUGAUCAGCCACACUGGGACUGAGACACGGCCCAGACUCCUACGGGAGGCAGCAGUGGGGAAUCUUAGACAAUGGGCGCAAGCCUGAUCUAGCCAUGCCGCGUGGGCGAUGAAAGGCCUUAGGGUUGUAAAGCUCUUUCGUGGGGGAAGAUAAUGACUGUACCCCAAGAAGAAGCCCCGGCUAACUCCGUG